Tympanuchus pallidicinctus (lesser prairie-chicken) is the source of this 1982-nucleotide long non-coding RNA. RefSeq lists it as uncharacterized. The record is from RefSeq and is a predicted model, not a curated record. Lineage: Eukaryota; Metazoa; Chordata; Aves; Galliformes; Phasianidae. The transcript has 4 exons.
UCUAGUUUUUUGAGGGCUCAACAGAGAUAGGAGCAGUCCCCUCAAGUCUACCUGCUUAGGGCAGAUUUUGGGCUGCUUUUAGGCUGUGCUCUUCCCUUGGAGGGACCUUUUUCAGUCUGAGUGCUGCAGGCUCCCUUUGUUACAUUAUAGUUGAGUUGAGGUAACAGAGUUGCUGCAUGUCCAAGGAAUGAAUCUUGGUUCAAACAGUGUCUGUAGCAGAACUGGGACCACAGUUCUUUAUCUUUACUCUUCAGACUCUGCAGACUGCUCAACUGCUUUGUGCACAAUACUUUGGCAAACUAUCUCUAAUCGUCAUCCUUCAUGGUAUGCCUCAUGCAUCCUACAAGGAACUGGAGGAAGUAGUGUUUCUGGCUGAAAUCUGUGGCCCAUGUGACCACUGUCACCUGUGUAUGAGUUGGGAUGUGGUGGUGCAUAUAAUUAGCUGUUACUCUAUGUCUCAGCACAAGACACUGUCACUGGCAGUGAUAGUGUCCCUGCAGUGUUGAAGGACUGGAUAGCCACUCUCUUCUUUGCAGCAGGACUAGAAUGGGACUGUGUAAGAAGUUCUUCUCUCCACCACAAAGAGGGUUCAUCCCUUGGCUCUUCAUGCCUCUGCUAGGGAUUGUGGUUCUAGAGAUCCUUUACAUGGUCUGAAAGAUACUGGCCCAUUUCAAAUCUGCCCUUCUCAUUCCUUUUCCUACCUUUUCUUUCCCUCCAGUAAUUUUGUUAAUAUGCAGUUACUUCUUUGAGCUAAUUUUUUUAGUCCUUCCACAAAUAUAAAAAGAAAGAAAUCAGCAAAAUGUGUGGAUUUGAUUUAGAUUGCAGAUAAUAUUGAGAUCAGCAAUGCUGUUCAGGUAGUUAAACUUUUAAGUACUUCAUUAAUAUGCCACAACGGUGUGGUGUUUUUUUUUUUUUUUUUUAAUUUAAUGAGAAGUGCUAGAAUAGAGAUAGCUAAUUUCCAAGUGCUGUCAAGACCCAGCUCUGAAGGUGGGUUACUGCAUGUCUUCUGUAUGUAAGCCUGUUAGUGAAAGGGAAGGGAACUGUACUGUUGCUCAAAUGGUAGGUUUGCUGGCCCACCUUUGCUGGCUCUGGAUCAUCCACAACUUACAGGCAAAGUGGUGUUAAUGACAAAAUCAAUUAGAGGAAAAAUCAACAAGGCAAUAAAAAGAAUUUGUUGAUAUCAGCAACUAGCAGUCAGCUUGGGUUAUUCCCUGAGGAGGGUACAGCCUGAGGCUAAGCCAGAACUAAAUGUUUUCAUGUUCAGUAGUUUUCUUGUUUUCUACUGGAAAUGCUACCAUGGCACACAGUUGGCAGCUGUGACCAGACUAUGGUUAAACAAACUGACAUUUAAGGAGAAGAAAAAUUGCUCUGGAAGAUGAACACAGACCCACUGACAGGCAAAUGUAAACCUCUCACUCAGUGAUUGACAUUAGCAGUGAAAGCGCCCAGAGACAAUUGAUAAGUGAGGAGAACUAGAUGGCAGUACCUGCAAGCAAGUAUGGAGCUGCUCAGUGAGAACAGUUUAGGUUGGCAGCACAUUUGAAAACUUUUUAGGGAGGAAAAAGGAAGAGAAAUUUUCUGAUGUGGCAUUUCACUUGCUACUCUUUUUAUAUAAGGAAUAUUGGUAAUUAAGUCUCAAAAUUCAAGCAUUAGAAAAUUGGGUACUCAUUUUUAAGACUGGUGCUUGAGAGGAUAGGGAUUUCUAGAAUAUGCAAUGGCAACUGAACUGUAUUUUCUCCAUAUUCAAAUUAGCAUUUAGCUAAGAAAAUAACAAAAGAAGUAACAAGAAAUAUUGCCUCUGCUGACAAUUACUUUGGCAUCCCAGUGACAGCAUUUUCUGUCAGAGAGGCGCUUGUUCAAAAACAGGAACUGAAUUUAGUAGAAUCUGGGUCAAUAUGUAAAAUAUAGCUUAGCUAAUGUUGGAAGGGAAACAAAUAGGAAUGCUCCACCAUUUCUUUUUUGCACCUCUGUAGCUAUGCAGU